CUACGGGUUGCAGCAGUGGGGAAUAUUGCACAAUGGGCGCAAGCCUGAUGCAGCCAUGCCGCGCGUAUGAAGAAGGCCUUCGGGUUGUAAAGUACUUUCAGCGGGGAGGAAGGGAGUAAAGUUAAUACCUUUGCUCAUUGACGUUACCCGCAGAAGAAGCACCGGCUAACUCCGUGCCAGCAGCCGCGGUAAUACGGAGGGUGCAAGCGUUAAUCGGAAUUACUGGGCGUAAAGCGCACGCAGGCGGUUUGUUAAGUCAGAUGUGAAAUCCCCGGGCUCAACCUGGGAACUGCAUCUGAUACGGGCAAGCUUGAGUCUCGUAGAGGGGGGUAGAAUUCCAGGUGUAGCGGUGAAAUGCGUAGAGAUCUGGAGGAAUACCGGUGGCGAAGGCGGCCCCCUGGACGAAGACUGACGCUCAGGUGCGAAAGCGUGGGGAGCAAACAGGAUUAGAUACCCUUGUAGUC
This 464-nucleotide ribosomal RNA is filed under the name uncultured bacterium. RNAcentral describes it as "partial 16S ribosomal RNA". It matches the Rfam family "Bacterial small subunit ribosomal RNA", at positions 339 to 795 of the family's 1533-position model. The record is from RNAcentral.